This 84-nucleotide transfer RNA is filed under the name uncultured Thermomicrobiales bacterium. RNAcentral describes it as "tRNA-Leu-TAA". It matches the Rfam family "tRNA". Rfam says of the family: Transfer RNA (tRNA) molecules are approximately 80 nucleotides in length. Their secondary structure includes four short double-helical elements and three loops (D, anti-codon, and T loops). Lineage: Bacteria; Pseudomonadati; Thermomicrobiota; Thermomicrobia; Thermomicrobiales. The record is from RNAcentral.
GCGGACGUGGCGGAACGGCAGACGCUGCGGACUUAAACUCCGCUGGAGCAAUCCGUGCGGGUUCGAAUCCCGCCGUCCGCACCC